GGCUGGUCCAAUGGUAGUGGGUUAUCAGAACUUAUUAACAUUAGUGUCACUAAAGUUGGUAUUCAACCCCCCACUGCUAAAUUUGACUGGCUUUAA
Molecule: Y RNA, 96 nt
Filed under: Microcebus murinus (gray mouse lemur)
Lineage: Eukaryota; Metazoa; Chordata; Mammalia; Primates; Cheirogaleidae
Description: Y RNA (ENSMICG00000047104.1)
Rfam family: Y RNA
About the family: Y RNAs are components of the Ro ribonucleoprotein particle (Ro RNP), in association with Ro60 and La proteins.
Source: Rfam by way of RNAcentral